RNAcentral lists this ribosomal RNA (277 nucleotides) under uncultured prokaryote. Its description in RNAcentral is "partial 16S ribosomal RNA". It matches the Rfam family "Bacterial small subunit ribosomal RNA", at positions 524 to 801 of the family's 1533-position model. The record is from RNAcentral.
UACGUAGGGGCUAGCGUUAUCCGGAAUUACUGGGCGUAAAGGGCGCGUAGGUGGGCGUUUAAGUCAGAUGUGAAAACUCCGGGCUCAACUUGGAGAUUGCAUUUGAAACUAGAUGUCUUGAGGGCAGGAGAGGAAAGUAGAAUUCCUAGUGUAGCGGUGAAAUGCGUAGAUAUUAGGAGGAACACCAGUGGCGAAGGCGACUUUCUGGACUGUACCUGACACUGAGGCGCGAAAGCGUGGGUAGCGAACGGGAUUAGAUACCCCGGUAGUCCCUGAG